Molecule: long non-coding RNA, 381 nt
Filed under: Cottoperca gobio
Lineage: Eukaryota; Metazoa; Chordata; Actinopteri; Perciformes; Bovichtidae
Description: lncRNA (ENSCGOG00000015689.1)
Source: RNAcentral
ACACCCGUGUCAAGCUGCCAUGAGGACCAAAGACUGGACCUCUUCGAUGACGAGGACGUCAGCGAAGAGGACGAGGCUGACAUUAUCUCACGGGAGGCACUGAAGCGUCAGUCUCAGCUGAUCAUCGACUCCAAGUCUAAGAAGAAGGCCUGGAAGAAGAAGAAGGGCAAGUUCUGAAGCGACGCCACAGUCUCAGGACUCAGGACCUUCCCAGCUGACGUCUCUCAUGGUCUCCACGGCAGCUGUGAUUGGACGACAUACAGAAUGUAACCAGACGGACAACUUUUGGCUGCAAAUUGACCGAUUGAGUCUUUGUUUCAUUUGAAGGGUCUUGUGGUCCUGAAGACUUGAACGUGUCGGUAAUAAUUUGAGGAUCAGCAU